GACACUUUGGCCGAGUGGUUAAGGCGAUGCCCUGCGUAAGUUCCAACGAGCAAAACAAGGCUAGCCUUCAGUCGUCUAACAUCCAAACCAGUACUGCACACAGUUCCAAGGCAUUGGGUUCGCCCGCGCAGGUUCGAAUCCUGCAGGUGUCG
This is a transfer RNA of Purpureocillium lilacinum, 152 nucleotides long. It matches the Rfam family "tRNA". Rfam says of the family: Transfer RNA (tRNA) molecules are approximately 80 nucleotides in length. Their secondary structure includes four short double-helical elements and three loops (D, anti-codon, and T loops). The record is from Rfam. NCBI's taxonomy places the organism in Eukaryota, Fungi, Ascomycota, Sordariomycetes, Hypocreales, Ophiocordycipitaceae.